GUGAAGGUGAUAUUUCAUCCAGUGUUCCCGGUUCAUCCUCUCCUUACCUGACCUCUGAAAUGGAGCCAUUGGCCUUGAAAAGCCUGGUGUCUAAAAUUAAUAUUCUUCCCCAUCUGACUAAGAAGGCAACAGCUGAGCAACGUGAGAUCAAGAGCCAUAUUAAUUUAAACAGGGGCUGAAAGUGGCAUUUGAGAGAGAAGAUACUUCCUCUCGUAGUGGACACUUGUCUUUUCAGAAGAUUUAUACGACUGAGAGUCAAAACUUUUACCAGAGACUUUCAUAGUCAGUUUGAAUUCUGCAAAAUUUCUCUUUAUCUUCUGGAAUGUAUGCUCUAGACUUGGAGUGGCUCAAGCUCUUCGAUGUGAUCCUAUCAAUGUCAAGAGAAAGAAGCACUGAAGAGUCAUAAUUGUGUCCUGAUUUAUAAAUCGGAGACAGAGGGAGACGAAAACCACACUCCAGAAAGUAGCUUAAUCGGACUCACUACUAAGAUGUUAAAAGUGAAGAGGCUGGAAGAAUUCAACACGUGUUAUAACAGCAACCAGCUGGAGAAAAUGGCCUUUUUUCAGUGCAGGGAAGAGGUGGAGAAAGUGAAGUGUUUUCUGGAAAAAAAUUCUGGGGACCAGGAUUCAAGAUCUGGACAUAAUGAGCCAGAGAUGACUGGAGGCAGAGCUACCCACAGCCCGACCACUUCUACCUGAGCUCUUAUUGAGGAUGCAAAAAGCCAAAACCCUUUCAUGCAGCUGUUGAGAAGUCCAAACAAGUUCAGAAUCCUGAUCUUUUGUGUGUGGCCUAUAUUUUCUCUCUCUAGCAACUUGGGAAACCUUCUAUUUGUCCUUGUAUUGGGAAAAGUUUCUGCCAGAACCAAGAACCACUGUCCGUAAGUGGAGGGAAGUUCAGACUGAAGAAAGAGGCAAAACCACUUUAGGUUGAGUCUUGCUCUGUCACCCAGGCUGGAGUGCGGUGGUGUGAUCUUGGCUCACUGCAACCUCUGCCCCCCAAGUUCAAGCGAUUCUCCUGCCUUGGCCUCCCGAGUAGCUGGGACUACAGAUGGAAUCUUGCUGUGUCUCCAGGCUGGAGUGUAGUGGCGCGAUCUCGGCUCACUGCAACCUCUGCCUCCCGGGUUCAAGCAAUUCUCCUGCCUCAGCCUCCCGAGUAGCUGGGACUACAGGUGCCAGCCAUCACGCCCGGCUAAUUUUUUGUAUUUUUAGUAGAGAUGGGGUUUCACCAUGUUGGCCAGGAUGGUCUCGAUCUCCUGACCUCGUGAUCUACCCGCCUCAGCCUCCCAAAGUGCUGGGAUUAUAGGCGUGAGCCACCGCGCCCAGCCUAGUCUCUGCUUUUUUAAAAAAAAUGUUAGGACAGUGGUCCCUAAACUUGUCUGUGUAUUAGAAUCACCUGGGAAAUCUUUAAAAAUUCUAAGGACCAGGUAAAUUAAAUUAUAAUCUCUGGGAAUAGGACUGAUUUUUGUAUUUUUAGUAGAGACGGGGUUUUGCCAUGUUCACCAGGCUGGUCUCGAACUCCUGACCUCAGGUGAUCCACCCGCCUCAGCCUCCCAAAGUGUUGGGAUUACAGGUGUGAGCCACCACAUCCAGCCCAGACUAAUUUUUCUGAUGACAAAUGCUGCUUGUUGAUGUGAAUUCUGAUAUGGCACACACUUGAGCCUCACUUUGUUAGCUAUUAAUUUGUGUUACUGAAUUUACAGGCCUGGAAUACAAUUUGUGCUUCUUUUUAAAUAAAUUUCAUACUUUUUUUUU
Molecule: long non-coding RNA, 1751 nt
Filed under: Homo sapiens (human)
Lineage: Eukaryota; Metazoa; Chordata; Mammalia; Primates; Hominidae
Description: HSALNT0331751
Source: RNAcentral